UCAACAUCUUCCGCCGGGCGCUGGUGUUU
This 29-nucleotide small RNA is filed under the name Bombyx mori (domestic silkworm). Its description in RNAcentral is "ovarian small RNA-24589". Lineage: Eukaryota; Metazoa; Arthropoda; Insecta; Lepidoptera; Bombycidae. The record is from RNAcentral.